CCGAAACGAAGUGAUCUAUCCAUGAGCAAGUUGAAGCUAGUGUAAGAACUAGUGGAGGACUGAACCCAUAGGCGUUGAAAAGCCCCGGGAUGACUUGUGGAUAGGGGUGAAAGGCCAAUCAAACUUCGUGAUAGCUGGUUCUCUCCGAAAUAUAUUUAGGUAUAGCGUUGUGUCGUAAUAUAAGGGGGUAGAGCACUGAAUGGGCUAGGGCAUACACCAAUGUACCAAACCCUAUCAAACUCCGAAUACCUUAUAUGUAAUCACAGCAGUCAGGCGGCGAGUGAUAAAAUCCGUCGUCAAGAGGGAAACAACCCAGACUACCAGCUAAGGUCCCUAAAUCUUACUUAAGUGGAAAACGAUGUGAAGUUACUUAAACAACCAGGAGGUUGGCUUAGAAGCAGCCAUCCUUUAAAGAAAGCGUAAUAGCUCACUGGUCUAGUGAUUUUGCGCGGAAAAUAUAACGGGGCUAAAGUAAGUACCGAAGCUGUAGACUUGCGCACAACUUAGAUUAUUUAAGUUUAGAAUAUGAGAAACUAAGUUAUAUGUUUAGUUAUAUUUUUACUGAUUUUUAUAGAGUAAAGAUAGAAAUAAAACUUAGUAAAAUCAGUAAAAAUAUUCUUAGACUAAAGUUAAGUAGUUUAAGUUGUGUGCAAGUGGUAGGAGAGCGUUCUAUUUGCGUCGAAGGUAUACCGGUAAGGAGUGCUGGAGCGAAUAGAAGUGAGCAUGCAGGCAUGAGUAGCGAUAAUUAAUGUGAGAAUCAUUAACGCCGUAAACCCAAGGUUUCCUACGCGAUGCUCGUCAUCGUAGGGUUAGUCGGGUCCUAAGUCGAGUCCGAAAGGGGUAGACGAUGGCAAAUUGGUUAAUAUUCCAAUACCAACAUUAGUGUGCGAUGGAAGGACGCUUAGGGCUAAGGGGGCUAGCGGAUGGAAGUGCUAGUCUAAGGUCGUAGGAGGUUAUACAGGCAAAUCCGUAUAACAAUACUCCGAGAACUGAAAGGCUUUUUGAAGUCUUCGGAUGGAUAGAAGAACCCCUGAUGCCGUCGAGCCAAGAAAAGUUUCUAAGUUUAGCUAAUGUUGCCCGUACCGUAAACCGACACAGGUGGGUGGGAUGAGUAUUCUAAGGCGCGUGGAAGAACUCUCUUUAAGGAACUCUGCAAAAUAGCACCGUAUCUUCGGUAUAAGGUGUGGUUAGCUUUGUAUUAGGAUUUACUCCGAAAGCGAAGAAACUUACAACAAAGAGUCCCUCCCGACUGUUUACCAAAAACACAGCACUCUGCUAACUCGUAAGAGGAUGUAUAGGGUGUGACGCCUGCCCGGUGCUCGAAGGUUAAUUGAUGGGGUUAGCAUUAGCGAAGCUCUUGAUCGAAGCCCGAGUAAACGGCGGCCGUAACUAUAACGGUCCUAAGGUAGCGAAAUUCCUUGUCGGUUAAAUACCGACCUGCAUGAAUGGCGUAACGAGAUGGGAGCUGUCUCAAAGAGGGAUCCAGUGAAAUUGUAGUGGAGGUGAAAAUUCCUCCUACCCGCGGCAAGACGGAAAGACCCCGUGGACCUUUACUACAGCUUGACACUGCUACUUGGAUAAGAAUGUGCAGGAUAGGUGGGAGGCUUUGAGUAUAUGACGCCAGUUGUAUAUGAGCCAUUGUUGAGAUACCACUCUUUCUUAUUUGGGUAGCUAACCAGCUUGAGUUAUCCUCAAGUGGGACAAUGUCUGGUGGGUAGUUUGACUGGGGCGGUCGCCUCCCAAAUAAUAACGGAGGCUUACAAAGGUUGGCUCAGAACGGUUGGAAAUCGUUCGUAGAGUAUAAAGGUAUAAGCCAGCUUAACUGCAAGACAUACAAGUCAAGCAGAGACGAAAGUCGGUCUUAGUGAUCCGGUGGUUCUGUGUGGAAGGGCCAUCGCUCAAAGGAUAAAAGGUACCCCGGGGAUAACAGGCUGAUCUCCCCCAAGAGCUCACAUCGACGGGGAGGUUUGGCACCUCGAUGUCGGCUCAUCGCAUCCUGGGGCUGGAGCAGGUCCCAAGGGUAUGGCUGUUCGCCAUUUAAAGCGGUACGCGAGCUGGGUUCAGAACGUCGUGAGACAGUUCGGUCCCUAUCUGCCGUGGGCGUAAGAAGAUUGAAGAGAUUUGACCCUAGUACGAGAGGACCGGGUUGAACAAACCACUGGUGUAGCUGUUGUUCUGCCAAGAGCAUCGCAGCGUAGCUAAGUUUGGAAAGGAUAAACGCUGAAAGCAUCUAAGCGUGAAGCCAACUCUAAGAUGAAUCUUCUCUAAGCUCUCUAGAAGACUACUAGUUUGAUAGGCUGGGUGUGUAAUGGAUGAAAGUCCUUUAGCUGACCAGUACUAAUAGAGCGUUUGGCUUAUCUUUAAUAAAGCAU
This 2372-nucleotide ribosomal RNA is filed under the name Campylobacter jejuni. Its description in RNAcentral is "partial 23S ribosomal RNA". It matches the Rfam family "Bacterial large subunit ribosomal RNA", at positions 715 to 2925 of the family's 2925-position model. Lineage: Bacteria; Pseudomonadati; Campylobacterota; Epsilonproteobacteria; Campylobacterales; Campylobacteraceae. The record is from RNAcentral.